RNAcentral lists this ribosomal RNA (301 nucleotides) under uncultured bacterium. RNAcentral's name for it is "partial 16S ribosomal RNA". It matches the Rfam family "Bacterial small subunit ribosomal RNA", at positions 509 to 807 of the family's 1533-position model. The record is from RNAcentral.
CAGUAGCCACGGUAAUACGAAGGGUGCAAGCGUUAAUCGGAAUUACUGGGCGUAAAGCGUGUGUAGGUGGUUGUUUAAGUCUGUCGUGAAAGCCCUGGGCUCAACCUGGGAAUUGCGAUGGAUACUGGGCGACUAGAGUGCGGUAGAGGAUAGUGGAAUUUCCGGUGUAGCAGUGAAAUGCGUAGAGAUCGGAAGGAACAUCUGUGGCGAAGGCGACUAUCUGGGCCAACACUGACACUGAGACACGAAAGCGUGGGGAGCAAACAGGAUUAGAUACCCCAGUAGUCCCUGUCUCUUAUAC